CGGUGAGCUAAAAAGCAAAACUAAAGAGCUACAAAAGCUGAAACUGGAAAAUGACGAGCUGUUUCAAUUCAAAUGUUCGCAGUAAGUUUAGUAUUAUACUCUGUGGUAGUGGACAUCUGUAUUGGCUACUUUUCUUAUUUCAAAAGUACAAUUAUUAAGGAAAUACAUUGAAUAAUCGGAUCUACUCCUAGUUAAAUGAAAUAACUACUAUUGGAUAUGUUUUGGUGAUUUAUUUGGAAUAUAUGAACAUUUCUCGUCACUUGAUUACAGUUAUAAACUAGAAUCAGUCAUUUUUAAAGUCAAGAAUACUUUUUUUCUUAUUUAAAAUUUCUUCGAAUCCAGACAGUUUUACUGUUGCUCUGUGAAAAAAACGGACAAUAUUUAAAACUAAGUGUGUUUGUUAAAUACAAUGAAAUUGUGCUUUUUUGUUGCUCAAACCAUGUAUAGUAUUCAAAAUAAGAUGGGUAGUCAUAAAUAAAACUAUUAUAUAUAUCAAAACGACUAUGUUAGUAUAUCGCUAACCUUUUUAAUAAGUACUUUCCAAAUGAUUGACUUACAUUUGUUUUAUUUCAGACCUAAUAAUUGCCGUAGAUGUGGCAAAUAUUCUACUCCAUUAUUUCCACACGCUUGCAAAGGGAGGAUCACAUAACAGAUAUUAUCAGGAACUGGAAAGGACACUCUGAAUCAAUACACAGAAUAAAAUUGAUUUACUGACUUACAAUAAGCGUGUCAUAUAAUUCGAAACCACUUUUAUUUAGGGAACUUACAUACAACAAUGGAUACAAUUUACAUCAUAUGAAAGCUCAAUAAUAUUACUUUUUGAUGUUUACAAUUUUUCAAUAGUCGUAUAUAGCAAUUUCCGUUAAAAGAACAAUAAAGGAUAAAACCUUAUUUAUGACAAAAGUGUUAAUCUGAUUAGUUAAUCCUUUUCUCAUUUGGUUUUAUAGUUUUUCUAUCUUUUUAUCUUAAA
Molecule: long non-coding RNA, 970 nt
Filed under: Mytilus galloprovincialis (Mediterranean mussel)
Lineage: Eukaryota; Metazoa; Mollusca; Bivalvia; Mytilida; Mytilidae
Source: RNAcentral